Molecule: ribosomal RNA, 439 nt
Filed under: uncultured bacterium
Lineage: Bacteria
Description: partial 16S ribosomal RNA
Rfam family: Bacterial small subunit ribosomal RNA
Source: RNAcentral
CUACGGGAGGCUCCAGUGAGGAAUAUUGCACAAUGGGGGGAACCCUGAUGCAGCAACGCCGCGUGGAGGACGACGCAUUUCGGUGUGUAAACUCCUUUUAUAUGUCAAGAAAAUGACGGUAGCAUAUGAAUAAGCACCGGCUAACUCCGUGCCAGCAGCCGCGGUAAUACGGAGGGUGCAAGCGUUACUCGGAAUCACUGGGCGUAAAGGACGCGUAGGCGGGUUGGAAAGUCAGGUGUGAAAUCCUACAGCUUAACUGUAGAACUGCACUUGAAACUUCUAAUCUAGAGUAUGGGAGGGGGAGAUGGAAUUAGUGGUGUAGGGGUAAAAUCCGUAGAUAUCACUAGGAAUACCUAAAGCGAAGGCGAUCUCCUGGAACAUUACUGACGCUAAGGCGUGAAAGCGUGAGGAGCAAACAGGAUUAGAUACCCCCGUAGUC